UCAGAGGAGACAGCUAGUCACACCUGCUGUUAAUCAGUCUCUCCUCCAGCUCCUGAGUCACUUUCUGGAGAUCCUUUGUUUGGCACACAUGUGCUGUGACUGGUGACUCUGUUCUGUGUGGUAAGGUGGACUUUUGGGGUUUUUAACAUUGUUUUAGAAUUAGGAUAGCAUUUUAAUUGUUAGGGUAAUGUAGGGGUGCAUGCACCCUGAGGUAUUUGUAUUUUAAUGAUUUUAAUUGUGGGUCUGUCAUUUGUUUUUAGGACUGAAACACUAACAGUGCUUUGUUUGUUUUUAGGCAUAGCACUGACUGCCGUUUAUUUUAGUUUAGUAUUUUAUAUUUUAGUCAUAUUGAUUUUAUUGUUUUUAUUAUUUUAGAUUUGAGUUGUGUAGUUUUAGGAUUUUAACAUUCUGUCUUCUUCUGUUCCUAGUAUUGUGGCUGGUGGGAACCCCCAUUCAACGGUGUGGCUGAAAUGCUGGGAGUUCACUUUAGAUGGUGAUAUGGUUUGUGGUUGCACAUUGAAUUAGUGUGGUGUGUUUAUUUGAAGUGUUGGGUUUAUAUUUAUUUUGAAUAUCUAGUAUACUCCCAGUGUCCUAGGCAGUGGAUGGUUGGUUUCCCAGUCGUGAUAUGACUGUCUGUCCUCUUGUCUUUUCUUGACUGUGUUUUAUAGAGUUUUAAAUAUUGUAAAAUAAAUGGCAUGUGUUUGACCCACACUGACUGUUGUGGCCUCCUUAAUUGAAGCCCCUGUGCAUGUCUAAUCAAUCCAUAAGGUUACAUUUGGCGUUGUCGGCAGGAUUGAGAAACAGUCAGUGUGUGGUACAUGUCAUAGUUUAGUUUUUUUUGGUUUGAUAAAAUAUUAAACGGCAGUCGGUGCAGAAGACUGAAGGGGUCAUCAAGGCUGGUUCAUCACCCCAAGGCGCAGAAGAUGCUGUAAUCCCACUUCUUCCUUGGGUUGUAAAGAGUGGUUAAAAUGAGUGAAACUGAGGAACAAUUAGCAGCCCUGCGUGAGCAGCUCAGAGCCCUUCAAGUUGAAAAUGGACUUUUAAAAGAAGUUGCCAGUAACUCAUACGCCUCUAGUGCCCCUGCUUCUGCCCCCAGAAUUGACAGAACUGUUUAUGUCCCACGUGAAAGGAGGUGCCCAAAGUUUUAUGGUGAUCAAGACCAACCUGAUAGCAUUGGCUUGGAGGAUUGGGUGGAGGAAGUUGAAGCCUGUCUGGAAGGGCGCCAAUUCUCUAACAGAGAAAAAGCUAUUUUCCUCCUUGAUCAUCUGGGAGGUGAACCACGGAGUGAGAUCAAGCACAGACCACGUAGAGAAAGAGAGGAUCCUCAAAAGAUCAUUGACAUUUUACAAUUACUGUAUGGUGGUAAAAAGCCCUUGGUUGUACUGCAGCAAAGGUUCUAUGAACGUAGACAGCAGGAGGGGGAGUCACUGAGACAGUUUUCUCAUGCAUUAAUGUCAUUAAUGAAUGCUGUUCUUGAUAACGAUCCAGAUGCAGUUCCGAACUCAGAGGUGGCCCUGAGAGACCAGUUUGUGGAACGCGUCCGGGAUGCAACGUUACGGCACCACCUGCGGGAAGUGGUGAGAGGUAAACCCGGAAUGUCACUGAUCGAAAUCCGAGAAGAAGCUAUCAGAUGGGGUGAGGAUUUUGAUAAAGGGAGCAAUUUCCAUUCCUCCCAGUGCAAUGUUACACGAGCUGACAUAACUGCCACAUCAGUGCAAGAGCCAAAACAGUCUCCAGAGGUUCUGGCCAUCGCAGAACUAAUAAAGAAUCAACAGACUCAAAUUUCCUCUUUAACACAACAGUUUCAGUCCCUGCAGUCAAUGUUUGAGCAGACCACAGCCAAAUUCAGAAAGGAACAAAAGUGCCUACGUUGUAAUAAACCAGGUCACAUUGCUCGAUAUUGUCGCCAGCCCAUGCCCACGACUUUGAGAAUGAAUCCUAACCCGAGUGUCCAGACAGUGCAAGUGGAGCACCCAGUGACGGAGCCAACUUUUGUCUCUCACCAGGUAACAGAUUUAACUGAGCAUGACUCUAACCCAGUCUCUCCAGAACUCUUAAAACAGUUGGUGGGUCCAUGCACUGUAGUGCAGCUGACUAUGAAUGGGAUCAAUGUCCCUUCAUUACUGGACACUGGUUCAAAUGUUACCACACUGACAAAGAGUUUUUUCCUGUCACAGUUUCAUUCAGACCAGCCUAAAAUUAACACCUGCAAGUGGCUAAACCUCUCUGCUGCCAAUGGGUUUGCCAUCCCAUAUUUGGGGUAUGUAGAGGUGGACGUCACUGUCUUAGGUCAAGUGCUUCGUGAUUGUGGUGUUCUAAUUGUUGAAGACCCACCCAGUUUCACGUCAUUACAGAAACAGAAGGAAAAAGUGCCUGGGCUGUUGGGAAUGAACAUCAUAAGUCAACUGUAUACUGACCUUUAUGAGGAAUAUGGUUCGGCCAUGUUCUCUAUCCCUCAGGUUACACAGGCCGCACCUGGUUGGAGAGAAGCACUACAAAUGUGUCAUGUGAUGGAGACUGAGCAGAGUGAUGAAGGACUCGGUAAACUACGAGUGCAUGCUGAGAAUCCUGUCCAGAUCCCUGCAGGUACCACAGUGAUGAUUCCAGCCACAGGUCCAAAAGGUAAACAGUACAACUCACUCACACUCCUUUUGGAACCGGAUAACAGUGCAACCCACAUUUCUGCAGGCCUACUGGUGUCCACAGCUCUAGCCACAAUAAAAGAUGGACUGGCCUACGUUCCAGUUACGAACGUGAAUAGUGAAGUAGCCUACCUUCAGCCACGAACCCCAUUAGGUUUGCUGCAUUCAGUCCAUGUAGUGGAGGCUAAUAGUCCCACAAUUGUGUUUAAUGAGGAGACUGAUGCUCAAGGCAAAGUAACUGUAAUGUGCUCCCAAGCCUCUGUUAGCCCUUCUCAGGGUUUAGAUCUACAGUCAGUUGAUUUGUCUAAUUUGAGCCACCAGGAGCAACUGAAAGCAAAAGAUUUGCUUGGAAAGUACAGGGAUGUAUUUUCGACAGGGGAUAGUGACCUGGGCUGUACAACACUCAUUGAACAUAAUAUUCCACUCACAGAUGACAUUCCAACUAAACAACGUUACCGUCGUAUCCCUCCAUCUCAAUUUGAAAUAGUCAAAGCUCACAUUAAACAGCUACUACAGGCCCAAGUCAUAAGAGAGAGUUGCAGUCCCUAUGCUGCACCCUUGGUUUUAGUUCAGAAAAAGGACGGCUCCCUGAGGAUGUGUGUAGACUACAGGCAACUCAAUGCAAAGACGAGAAGGGAUGCCUAUCCAUUGCCUAGAAUCGAAGAAUCAUUAGACGCACUGACUGGUGCUAAAUGGUUCUCUACACUAGACCUGGCCAGUGGAUACAAUCAGGUCCCUGUAGCUGAAGCAGAUAAGCAUAAAACAGCUUUUUGUACACCAUUCGGCCUGUUUGAAUUCAAUCGAAUGGCUUUUGGGUUGUGUAAUGCACCCAGUACUUUCCAAAGAUUAAUGGAAAGGAUAUUUGGAGAUCAAAGUUUGCAGUCUCUGCUUCUGUAUUUGGAUGAUGUAGUAGUCUUUUCAACCUCUGUGGACCAACAUUUGCAGAGAUUGGAGCUGGUGUUACAUCGUCUGCGAAAAGAGAACUUAAAGGUCAAGUUGAGCAAGUGUUGCUUCUUCCAAAAACGAGUCAAGUACCUGGGCCAUGUGGUGUCUGAGGAUGGGGUGGCCACCGAUCCAGAUAAGGUCGCUGCAGUAGCCCAGUGGAAAUGCCCAGAGAAUGUCAAAGAGCUAAAAUCAUUCCUUGGCUUUGCCAGCUAUUAUCGGCGAUUUGUCCCUGGUUUUUCUCAAGUUGCCUCCCCAUUAAACUCUUUGGCUGCAAAACUGACUAGUAAAGAUAAGAGAGUCAAAAAUUCAAUCAAACCUCACUGGACCGAGACAUGUCACGCAGCCUUCCAGACACUCAAACAGAAACUCAUCACAGCCCCAGUGCUAGCUUAUGCAGAUUUUAAUAAACCAUUUAUCCUGGACGUAGAUGCUAGCCAUGAUGGGUUGGGGGCAGUCCUGUCGCAAGAGUGGGAGGGCAGAGUUCGACCCAUUGCUUUCGCCAGCCGCAGUCUGAGAAGAACUGAAAGAAAUAUGCAAAAUUAUAGUUCCAUGAAAUUGGAAUUUUUAGCCCUGAAAUGGGCUGUUGCAGAAAAAUUCAGAGAAUACUUGGUGGGCCAAAAAUGUACAGUUUACACUGACAACAAUCCUCUAAGCCAUCUCCAGACAGCCAAAUUGGGAGCAGUUGAACAAAGGUGGGCCUCAGAAUUGGCAAGCUUCGACUUAGACAUCAAAUACAAACCAGGAAGAACGAACACAAAUGCAGAUGCUUUGUCCAGGCAAAAUGCAAAUCUGGAGCAUAUACUAACCCUUGCUCCCACAUCUGCCCUUUCAGAGGAACUGAGGCGUGCAGCACAAAAGCAGCAUGGUGUACUGACUUCUCCAAAUUGUGUAUCACAGGCUGUAAUGGCGUCUUCUGGGGAGAAUGCAGCUAACCUGGCGGUGUUGCAGGCAGAAGACCCACUGAUCCGGGACUUUCGCUUCUUCUGGGACAGACGGCAACAACCAAAUAAGGAUGAGAGGAAGAAGGCGUCACCCAUGCUCCUGAAGCUCUUGAAGCAAUGGGGUCGGGUAAUUGAAAAAGAUGGUAUUCUUUUUCGACAGGUGGAGUCACCAGAAGGGGGACCAGCAUGGAAUCAGUUACUAUUGCCACAAAAACUGCAGGGGGAUGUCCUCCUUAGCCUCCAUGACAACCAUGGACACCAAGGUGUGGAACGGACAACAGAUCUCAUUAGGAGGAGAUGCUACUGGCCAGGUAUGAAUAAAACAAUAGAGGAGUACUGCAGAGCUUGUGAACGCUGUACAUUGGCCAAAGAUGUUCAUACUCCACCACGGAGCUUCAUGGGCCACCUGACAGCCUCUAAGCCUAAUGACAUUCUGGCUAUAGAUUUUACUGUUCUAGAGCCUGCAUCUGAUGGGCGAGAAAACAUCUUAAUCAUGACAGACGUGUUUUCAAAAUAUGUACAGGCCAUUCCAACUAGAAACCAAACAGCGGUAGCAGUAGCUGAGGCUUUGGUUAAACACUGGUUCUAUGUUUUUGGAGUCCCUCGCCAAAUACACUCUGACCAAGGACGAUGUUUUGAGGGUAAAGUAGUACAAGAGUUGUGUCGUAUUUACAAUAUCACAAAAACUAGGACGACACCAUACAGACCUCAAGGUAAUUGCCAAUGUGAACGGUUUAACAGAACCCUCCAUGACCUGCUCCGGACACUGCCACAGGAAAAGAAAAGGCAGUGGACUGUGCAUCUGCCUCAAGUAAUAUUUGCUUAUAAUACCACAAAACAUCAAUCCACAGGAUAUUCACCACAUAUGUUAAUGUUUGGACAGGAACCACGGCUGCCUAUUGAUUGUGUGUUAAGUGUUACAGGACAGCCGGAGUCACUGACAGCAGAUGAGUGGACCACCGACCAUCACAACAACUUGGCCUGCAUUUACCUGGGAGCGAGGCAGCGGCUCCAAGCAGCCGCUGACCGACGAGCCAAACAACACAACAACAAGGUCAAAGCAGAUACUUUGCAGCCUGGACAGCUAGUCUACUGCCGGGACCACAGCCACAGAGGACGGCACAAGAUACAGGACCACUGGAGCUCUGUGCCGUACAAGAUUGUGCGGUGUCCACAAAAUGGAGGGCCAGUGUACACAAUCAGCCCAGCGGAGGCAGAGGGACCCCUGAAACAAAUACAUCGGUCGGAGCUACGUCCAGCUGCAGGUAAACUGUUUGAUUUAUCAAUAAAUGACCCAGGUCUCCCUGAAGAUCUACUCAUGGGUAAUGAUUAUGAUGACACCUCUCAACCACCAUUUGUGGUUGAGUGUUCCUGGAGAUCUGUAACUGAUGUGGGAGAGCAGGAUGACACACCCCCACCACAGCCAGAUGUUGUGGAGAGGCCCGGUGCAGAACAAGAGGGAUCACGGCGUCCUCGUAGGACCACAGCCGGACAGCACCGAAACCCCCAUCAUCUCCCAAGAUCAACCACCACCCAAGUGAAUCAAGUUAUUGCCCCUUGGCAAGGAUUUCACAGGCCUUGGCUUUGAUGCCCAUCGACGGGACGUCGAUUCAGUUCAUGGGGGCAGAUUGUAGCAGUAGGUCACCAGGAAGCAGAAGCACAGACCAAUCAGAGGAGACAGCUAGUCACACCUGCUGUUAAUCAGUCUCUCCUCCAGCUCCUGAGUCACUUUCUGGAGAUCCUUUGUUUGGCACACAUGUGCUGUGACUGGUGACUCUGUUCUGUGUGUAUUGUGGCUGGUGGGAACCCCCAUUCAACGGUGUGGCUGAAAUGCUGGGAGUUCACUUUAGAUGGUGAUAUGGUUUGUGGUUGCACAUUGAAUUAGUGUGGUGUGUUUAUUUGAAGUGUUGGGUUUAUAUUUAUUUUGAA
RNA transcript from Centropristis striata (black sea bass), 6457 nucleotides. RefSeq lists it as uncharacterized. The transcript is spliced from 2 exons. NCBI's taxonomy places the organism in Eukaryota, Metazoa, Chordata, Actinopteri, Perciformes, Serranidae. The record is from RefSeq and is a predicted model, not a curated record.